AGUGUGGCUUCACCAGCAGCGUUAGGUCCACACCCGGGAUCCGAACCUGUGAACCCCUGGCUGCAGAGCGCACAAACUUAACCACUAAGCCAUCAGGCCAGCUCUGUGUUUCCCACUUCAACCCCCAGGGGAACCCUAUCAGGGCGUGAUCCUCUUCACAGCUGAGGAAGCUGAGGCUCCCAGAUGAAGUCCUUUUCCUGCAUUCGCCCUGCUGGGGAAUUGGCGGAAGCAGGUGUGCACGCAGCCCCUCUGAUCCCAAGUCCGCGCGCACAGUCCCUGCAGAGCCCACCUCCCGCCCGGCGGAGGGAGGCCGUCCGGUCCUUGUUCCAGAAGCGUUUCUCAGAAGGAGCCCAGGCACGGCUGACACACAAGCCAGCCGCCGCUGUGGUCUGAAAAGGCAGGACGCUUCCUCACAACAACAAACAAGUUCUUAAAGCCUCUGGAAGCUCCCCCUCAACAGUGGAAACCCCCGGACCUUUGAAGGGAGAGUGAGAGUGAGUCCCCUCUAAACCCAGGACGACCCGGAAAUCCUGCUGACUGCCGGCAGCCGGGCUACAGGGCCCUACCGGGCUGUACAUCCACCGUCUGGAAGGUUGCUUGGGAGAUCUGCAGCCCUGGCGGAUGCAAAGGCCCUGUGGCCACCCUUCCUUCCUGUCCUUUAUCCAAAGCUUCGGGUGGAUGGAAUCACUGAAGUCCACAGGUCUUGGUGAAACCGAGUAGGCUCAGAUCCUGAGAGGUCGUCAAGUGGCGUGGAGUUGAGGCACAGUGCAUUCUCAUAGUGGCCACUUACAACACCAAUUAAAAUUAUGAAUACUGUGUGCCGGACAGAAAAACAAGGUCAACAGCCCGAAGCCUGGAUCCUGACUCUUCAUCUUGUGCAGUGGCUCCAGUUCCACCUGCCACAGAGGGAAGCCUGAUGGAAAGAGGGUCAGAGUAAAACGGGCUGUCCUCAUGAUUGUCAGCAAAUAUCCUACUUUUGCAAAUUUCUCAAAAUGACCCAGUCAGCACAUUGCGAGGCCCCUUCUAGGGCAGGAGAGGAGCUCGUGCAAGUGAAGGGUCCUGGAGCUGAGCUUCAGUAGCUUCCUGGAAAACCCACCUCUGAG
Molecule: non-coding RNA, 1103 nt
Organism: Equus caballus (horse)
Lineage: Eukaryota; Metazoa; Chordata; Mammalia; Perissodactyla; Equidae
Source: RefSeq, a predicted model, not a curated record